Molecule: small RNA, 16 nt
Filed under: Arabidopsis thaliana (thale cress)
Lineage: Eukaryota; Viridiplantae; Streptophyta; Magnoliopsida; Brassicales; Brassicaceae
Description: ATSL127510
Source: RNAcentral
AAUGACGGAAGGAAAU